GCACGGGAGACAGAGCACCGGGUGCUAACGUCCGGACUCAAGAGGGAAACAACCCAGACCGCCGUUUAAGGUCCCAAAUAUUGACUAAGUGGAAAACGAAGUGUGAAGGCUAAGACAGUCAGGAAGUUGGCUUAGAAGCAGCCAUCCUUCAAAGAAAGCGUAAUAGCUCACUGAUCGAGUCCUCAUGCGCGGAAGAUGUAACGGGGCUAAGUCAAUAACCGAAAGCGCGGAUUUGCACGAUGAGUGCAAGUGGUAGGGGAGCGUUCUGUAAGCCUGCGAAGGUGGUUCGAGAGGACUGCUGGAGGUAUCAGAAGUGCGAAUGCUGACAUGAGUAACGUUAAAGCGGGUGAAAAGCCCGCUCGCCGUAAGCCCAAGGUUUCCUGCUCUACGUUCAUCGGAGCAGGGUGAGUCGGCCCCUAAGGCCAGGCUGAGAAGCGUAGUCGAUGGGAAGCAGAUUAAUAUUUCUGCACCAUGUGCAAGUGCGAUGGGGGGACGGAGUGCGAAAGAUCAUCCGGGUGUUGGAUGUCCCGGUUUGUGAGUGUAGAAGGCCGACAGGCAAAUCCGUCGGCGGAUCUUCGAGACAAAGCAUCGAGGUUCUACGGAACCGAAGUGAUCGGAAGUGCUUCCAGGAAAAGCCUCUAAGCUCCAGCUUGCAUAUGACCGUACCGUAAACCGACACUGGUGGGCGAGUUGAAUAUACUCAGGCGCUUGAGAGAACUCGGGAGAAGGAACUCGGCAAAUUGACACCGUAACUUCGGGAUAAGGUGUGCCUUUGUAGCGUGAAGAGAGAAACACUCGGAGCGUGAAGAGGCCUCAGAGAAUCGGUGGCUGCAACUGUUUAUUAAAAACACAGCACUCUGCAAAGACGAAAGUCGACGUAUAGGGUGUGAUGCCUGCCCGGUGCUGGAAGAUUAAGUGAUGGGGUGAGAGCUCCUGAUCGAAGUCCCAGUAAACGGCGGCCGUAACUAUAACGGUCCUAAGGUAGCGAAAUUCCUUGUCGGGUAAGUUCCGACCUGCACGAAUGGCAUAAUGAUGGCCACACUGUCUCCUCCCGAGACUCAGUGAAGUUGAAAUGUUUGUGAUGAUGCAAUCUCCCCGCGGCUAGACGGAAAGACCCCAUGAACCUUUACUGUAGCUUUGCAUUGGACUUUGAACCGAUUUGUGUAGGAUAGGCGGGAGGCAGAGAAAGCGCAACGCCAGUUGUGCCGGAGCCGACGUUGAAAUACCGCCCUGAUUUGUUUGAGGUUCUAACCGCGACCCGUGAGCCGGGUUCGGGACCGUGCAUGGCAGGCAGUUUGACUGGGGCGGUCUCCUCCUAAAGGGUAACGGAGGAGUACGAAGGUACGCUAGGUACGGUCGGAAAUCGUGCUGAUAGUGCAAAGGCAAAAGCGUGCUUGACUGCGAGACCGACAAGUCGAGCAGAUGCGAAAGCAGGUCUUAGUGAUCCGGUGGCUCUGUAUGGAAGGGCCAUCGCUCAACGGAUAAAAGGUACUC
RNAcentral lists this ribosomal RNA (1494 nucleotides) under human gut metagenome. RNAcentral describes it as "bacterial LSU rRNA". It matches the Rfam family "Bacterial large subunit ribosomal RNA", at positions 975 to 2468 of the family's 2925-position model. The record is from RNAcentral.